GGUUAAAAACAAGUAGAGGUUAAUUAUACAAUAAUUAGUAUAUAAUGACAUUUAGGCAACCUGACGUCACUCUGUUUUGCCAAUUGCAUACAUGUUACUUUCCAUUGUUAGAUAGAGGAUUGCUGAAAUGUUAUCUAAAAGUCCAAACAUGUACAUGAAUUGCAAAUGCAGCUUUUGAUUUGUGAUCUUGUUUUUAGCUUGACCUUAUAAUGAAAUCUAUUUUUAUUUUUUUAAGACAAGGUCUUGCUUUGUCACCCAGGCUGGAGUGCAGUGGCACAAUCUCGGCUCACUGCAAUCUCUGCCCCCCAGAUUCAAGCGAUUCACUUGCCUCAGCCUCCCUAGUAGCUGAGAUCACAGGCGUGUGCCACCACGCCCGGCUAAUUUUUGUAUUUUUUUAGUAGAGACAGGGUUUCUCCAUAUUGACCAUGCUGAUUGCGAACUCCUUACUUCAGGUGAUCUACGCGCCUCGGCCUCCCAAAGUGCUGGGAUUACAGGCAGGAGCCACCAUGCCCUGCCUUAAUGAAAUCUAUUCUUAUUGAAGAGAAUGGAGAAUGUGUUUUAGAAGGAAAAUUGUAGCAAAUAUUAAAUGCUACAAAGUUGUCUCAGUAUCGCUAAGGUAAUUAAGGUCUUUGAGAAAUACAAAUAAGGAUUUAAAGAGUAAAGUAAAGAAACAGACUAAAGUAAGCACAAAUGUUUCCUUACAGUCAAGGGAUUUGUACAGCCCUAUAGGAGACACCUCCAGAGAAAGUAACAACUCUCAGUUGAUUAGCUGAGCCAGAAUUAGCUUCUGUUACUUACAACUGUGAGCCCUGACUGAAAACAUAUUUCUUCCUUUGAAGAAUUGUUACCUGUAACAGGCUAAGAAUAUUAAGAAUAAACAGAUGCUUUUACAGCUCGCAUUGGUGGGAAGAUCUGGCACAAAUGAAGUAUCUAUAAGGAGCAGCAGAGUCAAGGUGGUGAUCCUGUGGAAGAAUAACUGAAACCUGAUAUACUUGACAGCAGAAAAUAUAAAGCAAAUCGAAAAGGAGAGAGUGUGGAGAUAAAUAAGGAAAUGAAAGAACUGAUGAAGUCACUUGGAUUAAAAAACCUGGGAGAAGACACCAAAUGAGCUACACUGUUUUGGACUCCCCAACACAACCCAGCCACCGGCUGAAUGCCACCAAAUUACCUUCUAGUUAAAGCUUUAUGGAGCAAACGAAUCACCUAUUCAAUAUCUGCUUGAAUUUCUGACUCAAAAUAUAUCAGGUAUAAAAUGAUGGUUUUUUUAAGCCACUAAGUCUUGGGGGAGUUUAUUAUAAAGCAA
This 1303-nucleotide long non-coding RNA is filed under the name Pongo abelii (Sumatran orangutan). RNAcentral's name for it is "lincRNA". Lineage: Eukaryota; Metazoa; Chordata; Mammalia; Primates; Hominidae. The record is from RNAcentral.